AGGAGUCAGCCCCUACAGCAAGACACUGGUCCUCCAGACGUCUGAGGGUAAGGCCCUUCAGCAGUAUCCCUCAGAGCGGGAACUUCGUGGCGUCUAACUUGGCUGGCAGCCUGGAGGAAGGUGACAUUUCUUAGUCUCUUUUCAAUGUUCAUGAGAUACCGGUGUCUAGUAUUAGUUACAAGAUGUGGAUCUGCGAUCCCCGGUACCACAGUUACAGAAUUGGGGGUCAUUUUCUAAGUGAAACUAAUGGACCACGUUCUCUACGAACAAAGAAACUGUAUUGUAGAAAUCCAUUCCUCCACGAAUUUUAUAUAAUAUAUACUAUGUGCAUAUAUAUAUAUAUAAGGUAUGUAUGUGACUGUGAGUCACCCCAACCACCAUGUAGAUAUAUCAGUGUUCUCUGUUACUGCCCAGAAGUGAUUCGCUCAUGAUGAAAUAAAGUUCACACACAUUCUUUCUCCAC
This 463-nucleotide long non-coding RNA is filed under the name Rattus norvegicus (Norway rat). RNAcentral describes it as "long non-coding RNA NONRATT025088". The record is from RNAcentral. Lineage: Eukaryota; Metazoa; Chordata; Mammalia; Rodentia; Muridae.